Molecule: ribosomal RNA, 253 nt
Filed under: uncultured bacterium
Lineage: Bacteria
Description: partial 16S ribosomal RNA
Rfam family: Bacterial small subunit ribosomal RNA
Source: RNAcentral
UACAGAGGGUGCAAGCGUUAAUCGGAAUUAUUGGGCGUAAAGGGCUUGUAGGUUGUUCUAUAAGUUAGAUGUGAAACCCCUGGGCUUAACCUGGGACGUGCAUUUAAUACUGUAGAGCUAGAGUAUGGUAGAGGAGUAGGGAAUUCCUGGUGUAGCAGUGAAAUGCGUAGAGAUCAGGAGGAACAUCAGUGGCGAAGGCGCUACUCUGGACUAAUACUGACACUGAGGAGCGAAGGCGUGGGGAGCAAACAGG